RNAcentral lists this unclassified non-coding RNA (1433 nucleotides) under Hevea brasiliensis (rubber tree). Lineage: Eukaryota; Viridiplantae; Streptophyta; Magnoliopsida; Malpighiales; Euphorbiaceae. The record is from RNAcentral.
CUGACAUCAGGUAAUAAUUAAUAUAGAGUUUUUGUAGUAUUAUUAAGGAAUUAAAUAUAUAGUUUUCACAUUAACAUUUUCAUUUUAUCCUGUCUAUGGGUAUUAGACAUUGUUCUAAUUAGCUUGUACACAAAUAGAAGGCAGCUUAUUGUCCACAUAUUUUGCUCUGCAAGAGGCAGCUCCCUCCAUUAACUGAAGCUUACUUUUCUAUUCUCUGCUGUUACUUAACGAGGAUGGUAAUAGAUGGGAAUAUAAGGGAUAAACCAUCUUCAUCUUCCCCAUUGGUUGUCUCAGCUUGCAGGCCCAGACUCAUUCUGCUUGAACCUGAACCUCUCAAGCCCAACCUUAAAGCCAAUGGUCUUUAUGUCUUGCUGCACUUGUGCCUGGAAAUCACUGUAAGUGAAAGGCUUGUACUUAGAGCUUUGUAUCACACUCCCUUCAGCUGGGAAAACGAAGUAGCAGAUUGAAUACCGCUCCCCAUAUUUGUUUGGCUUCACUCUGUGUUUAACACUCUUAUAUUCAUCGUUGCUUAUGGCCUGCAACAUAUCUCCAAGGUUGAGAAUGAGCGUAUCAGGAAUGGGCUCAAUCUGGAACCAUUUAUCAUCCUUGAAAUGUUCAAAUCCACCAACUUGUUCCUGGUUCAAUAUGGAAAGUACUGAGCUGUCUGUGUGAGCUUCCAUCCCCCAUGUCUCAUUAGCUACAAAGCACUGAGGGUAUCGAUAAACGCGAAUAAAUCCUGUGGAUUCUGACAAGUAAGACUUGGAUUGCUCAGGAUUCAGAUUGAGGGUAUUGACCAUUGCUUGGAAUAUGGUGGAGGCAAUUCGAGCCAGGUGCCUUCCAUAUUCUUCCAACAGAAGUCUGAAAGAAUCAAUUGUAGGAUCUUCAGCUUGAAACUGAGAGAGUUGACCGAGAGGAACAUUGAAACCUUCCACCCAGUUGAUAUUCUGGGGGCCUCUUGACAGGGAAUCCCCAGAUGGGGUAAGAGCAGGGGUGCCCCAGAAGUAGGACAUUGGGCUACUGAUCACCAGUGCUUCUUUGGAUUCGAAAGAAAGAGAGAAAAUCUUCUUGGAAUGAUCUUGAAGUUGUCUCAGAAGGGUUAAAGGAAUCCCAUGGUUGACCAAACGAAACAGGCCCCAGUGUUUACAAGCCUCUCCAAGCUCAUCCAGGUUGAGGCACUGGAGAUCUAUAAGAGGGAUAGGAUCAUACUCUUGAAUCGACUCUUUGGCGAUAUCAUCAAGGUCGGAGCUUUGAGCUUGAGCUUGAGCUUGAACGUGAGGGCUUUCGCUUUGUUGGCGAAACACAGGUGGGUAGGAUUCAAGGUUCAUUUCAGACAUAAUUUUUUUUUUUACACUAACACGGCAACACCCUCUUGAGUUGCUCCUCGAUCAAUGAUAUCACAGCUACCAAACGCAAUGGAAUAUAAAAUAUAUAGG